GCUGAUGUAGCUCAGUCGGUAGAGCAGCUGAUUUGUAAUCAGCCGGUCGGGGGUUCGAAUCCACUCAUCAGCU
This 73-nucleotide transfer RNA is filed under the name Gammaproteobacteria bacterium. RNAcentral describes it as "tRNA-Thr". It matches the Rfam family "tRNA". From Rfam's summary of the family: Transfer RNA (tRNA) molecules are approximately 80 nucleotides in length. Their secondary structure includes four short double-helical elements and three loops (D, anti-codon, and T loops). The record is from RNAcentral. Lineage: Bacteria; Pseudomonadati; Pseudomonadota; Gammaproteobacteria.